Molecule: long non-coding RNA, 239 nt
Organism: Anneissia japonica
Lineage: Eukaryota; Metazoa; Echinodermata; Crinoidea; Comatulida; Comatulidae
Exons: 2
Source: RefSeq, a predicted model, not a curated record
GGGCCAUUUUUACCUACUUGUCAUUUGGGGCCAUUUUUACUGGGGCCAUUUUGAUUAUAUGAUGGUUGGUUUUUACAACAAUAUAUAUUCAUAAUUUAUACUUUAUAUUCUGCUACAUGUAAGAUAUACCGUAGUAGCCAGACCAGGUUUUUGUAUGCACUUUGAAGUCCAGAGAAUUUGACUUCAGAAAUUGAUUUAGGGUGGUCUCACCGAUUUUAAUAAAGAAAUAAUUCAAAAUA